CAAAUGGUUGUGUGAUUGUGAUGGUGGUCGGUUGGCAGAACUCUUGUCCUUUUACCUUGAAUAAAUUAGAGUGUUCAAAGCAGGCUGUGGCGAAAGUCAACACGCCUUGAAUAUGUUAGCAUGGGAUAAUGGAAUAGGACUUUGGUCUUUGCAAGUGUCAAGGAGGUGGUGUGGGUCAAACUGCACCACUAACGUUGGCCCUUUUCGUUGGUUUUCACAAGAUCAAAGUAAUGAUGAAAAGGAACAGUCGGGGGCAUUCAUAUUUCAUGGUCAGAGGUGAAAUUCUUGGAUUCAUGAAAGAUGAACUUCAGCGAAAGCAUUUGCCAAGGAUGUUUUCAUUAAUCAAGAACGAAAGUUAGGGGAUCGAAGACGAUUAGACACCGUCGUAGUCUUAACCAUAAACUAUGCCGACCAGGGAUCAGAGAGCGUUCAUAGUCAUCUAAAACGUGAUUAAAAGGCCUUUCUGGCACCUCGAGGGAAACCACAAGUCUUUGGGUUCUGGGGGGAGUAUGGUCGCAAGGCUGAAACUUAAAGGAAUUGACGGAAGGGCACCACCAGGAGUGGAGCCUGCGGCUUAAUUUGACCCAACACGGGGAAACUCACCAGGUCCAGACUUAAUAAGGAUUGACAGAUUGAGAGCUCUUUCUUGAUUUUAAGGGUGGUGGUGCAUGGCCGUUCUUAGUUGGUGGUGUGAAUUGUCUGGUUAAUUCCGUUAACGAACGAGACCUCAGCCUGCUAACUAGUAAUACAAACUCCACUGAUAAAAAGAGUUGGGUUGGGGGGAGGGGUGUGAGCAAUCACAUCUCUCUCUUUUUGAUUCAGUUUGUGGAAGUGUGGGGUGUGUUUGAGAUUGGGUUAAACCAGUUUCAAAUGCGCCCUCAUGAAAGCCUCUUGGUUGAGUUUUGGUAGCAUACUUCUUAGAGGGACCACGUCGUAGUAUCAUCGAGUGGAAGUGUGAGGCAAUAACAGGUCUGUGAUGCCCUUUAGAUGUUCUGGGCCGCACGCGCGCUACAAUAAAAGAGUCAGCGAGUGACAUAAAACAACCUUGUUCGAAAUUGGACUGGGUAAUCUUGGCAAACUCUUUUGUGCUGGGGAUAGAGCAUUGCAAUUAUUGCUCUUGAACGAGGAAUUCCUAGUAAGCGUGAGUCAUCAACUCGCGCUGAUUACGUCCCUGCCCUUUGUACACACCGCCCGUCGCUCCUACCGAUUGAAUGAUCCGGUGAAGUUUCCGGAGCGAGACUCCCUGUUGGGCAACCAACACAGUCUUAUUAACAUAAAGCAAAGUUAACUGAACCUUAUCAUUUAGAGGAAGGAGAAGUCGUAACAAGGUAUCCGUAGGUGAACCUGCGGAUG
Molecule: ribosomal RNA, 1353 nt
Filed under: metagenome
Description: bacterial SSU rRNA
Rfam family: Eukaryotic small subunit ribosomal RNA
Source: RNAcentral